RNAcentral lists this ribosomal RNA (468 nucleotides) under uncultured bacterium. RNAcentral's name for it is "partial 16S ribosomal RNA". It matches the Rfam family "Bacterial small subunit ribosomal RNA", at positions 28 to 507 of the family's 1533-position model. The record is from RNAcentral.
GAUGAACGCUGGCGGCGUGCUUAACACAUGCAAGUCGAACGGACAGGCCCUGCUUUUGUUGCUUUCUCGAUUGGCGAACGGGUGUGUGACACGUGUGUAACCUGCCCUUUACUUUCGGGUAACUUCAGGAAACUGCGGCUACUACCCGAUAGUAGCUCCUGCUCCAUGUUGUUCGUUGGAAAGUUUGGGCUGUUGUGGAUGGACUCGCGGCUUAUCAGCUUUCUUGUGUGGUAGUUGCUUACCAAGGCUUUGAAGGGUAGCCGACCUGAGAGGGUGACCGGGGACAUGGGGACUGAGAGACGGACCAGACGGCUACGGGAGGCAGCAGUGGGGAAGAUUGCACAGUGAGCGGAAGCAUGAGGCAGAGACGUCGGGUGCGGGAUGACGGCCUUCGGGUUGUGAACAGAUGUAGACUGAGACGAAGAGUGAGUGACGGUAAUGGGUAAAGAAGCAACGGCUAACUACGUG